This 449-nucleotide ribosomal RNA is filed under the name uncultured bacterium. Its description in RNAcentral is "partial 16S ribosomal RNA". It matches the Rfam family "Bacterial small subunit ribosomal RNA", at positions 29 to 523 of the family's 1533-position model. The record is from RNAcentral.
AACGAACGCUGGCGGCAUGCCUAACACAUGCAAGUCGAACGAGAUCUUCGGGUCUAGUGGCGCACGGGUGCGUAACGCGUGGGAAUCUGCUCUUUGGUUCGGAAUAACAGUUGGAAACGACUGCUAAUACCGGAUGAUGACGAAAGUCCAAAGAUUUAUCGCCAGAGGAGGAGCCCGCGUAGGAUUAGCUAGUUGGUGUGGUAAAGGCGCACCAAGGCGACGAUCCUUAUCUGGUCUGAGAGGAUGAUCAGCAGCACAUGGACUUAGACACGGCCCAGACUGCGACGGGAGGCAGCAGUGUGACAUAUUGGACAAUGGGCGAAAGCCUUAUCCAGCAAUGCCGCGUGAGUGAUGAAGGCCUUAGGGUUGUAAAGCUCUUUUACCCGGGAUGAUAAUGACAGUACCGGGAGAAUAAGCUCCGGCUAACUCCGUGCCAGCCGCCGCCGUAA